Molecule: long non-coding RNA, 4145 nt
Organism: Trichechus manatus latirostris (Florida manatee)
Lineage: Eukaryota; Metazoa; Chordata; Mammalia; Sirenia; Trichechidae
Exons: 3
Source: RefSeq, a predicted model, not a curated record
GGGAGGGUGGGUGCACGCGCGCAACCCGGCGCUGCAAAUUUCCACCGGGGACGGCGAGUGUCUGGAUGCGGAGAGUUUGGAAUUGCUUGCGGCGGAGGGCAGGAAGGGGAGCAGGGCCGGGAAAGGGGGCUGGCGGGCGCUAUAUCUGAGAGUAAGUUUCCUGGAUCGGGAGAGCCUGCACGCUUGCUAGCUACUCUGCUCGCCUCCCCAUCUAACCCCUCAAACGGAGACCGGUCUUCUUUUCGGAUUGCCCAUGCACUUGUUGCUGAGACAGCCAAGGCGCUGCCUCUGGAGGAUGCUGAAAGAGGAAGAUCCGGAAGCAGGACGAUCCUGAAAGACUGAGCCCCUCAACCCUGAAACAGGUAGCUUCUUUGGAAUUCUUGGUGUCUGAAUGUCUCAUAAGAUAGUUUCUUAAUGAAGGAGAGACGGAUUCAUCACUAGAACUGGGAAAGAGAAGCUGUAUGGAAAGGCUGUAUCUCGUAGAGGUAUGCAGCCAACCUACAGCAACAUGGUCAGGAAAGAGCAAGGAGAACAAAUAUUCCCACUCAGUGACCCUUGUGGUGUGGGAAAUGCCUGGAGAAUGGGAGGAAGGCUGUUCUGCUCCUGGGCACCCACAGAUUUCUGGAAAACUUUCCCUGGGAAAUGCUCAGUGGUUAUGGAUCUGCCUGUUGGAAUCUAGCAUCUCCUGGAACAGGGCCUGUCUUGUCUGUCUUAACUUUGCAGAGUAGUUGUGAAUAACUGAAGGACCCACAGGAUGUUUGUGGAUGUUGGCUCUAGAAGUGUUAAGAAGGAAUUGAAGAUGCUGGAGAAUGGUAUUACAGAAGGCCUUUGUGAGAAACUCCACAGAGCCUACCAGAGGCAGAGUCAGGAUCAAGGAACCUUUGAGCCAGCCCUAGAGCAUUUCUAGUGAUUUUUCAUCUCUUCCAGUCUCAGUUUGUCCCUCUAGAACAUGGGCACACAGCCAUGAUCCCUCUUCCAGGUUCCACACAAAAGCUAUCUGAACGGCCAAUGAGUUUGUGUGUAAAUAAUUUUUUUUUUUUGUUGCUGUUUUGAGGUUAAAACCCUGGUCUAGCAAAAUGACUGUUUUCCACUAAUUCUCAGUAACAGUGGAAGGGAGUGUAGUGAUGUCUGAUUUGAUCCUUUUGGUGUGUAUGGUUUUUUUUUUUGGCUUUUGUUCUUGGCAUGUGCCACACUUCUUCAUUGCUCUUUUGUGAGACUCAGAGUUGAUUCAGGUAUUUUGCUUUUUAAAAUUGUGCCUGAUAUUGAUUAUAUUCUUAAGCAAUUGUGUCUUGAGGUUCUAGUAGGAAAUGAUGGCUCACUGUUGAAGAGACUCUAGUGAAGGGACUAUUUAUAAGGGUGUAGGCAGAGUUAGGAGUCCCUGGGUGGUGCAAGUGGUUAAUGUGCUCAGCUGCUAACUGAGAGCUUGGAGGUUCAAGUCUGCCCAGAGGUGCCUUGGAAGAAAAGCCUAGCCAGCUACUUGUAAACAAUCAGCCACUAACAACUCUGUGGAGCACAGUUCCACUCUGGCACACAUGGGGUUGCCAUGAGUUGGAGUCGACUUGACGGUAGUGGUUAGGCAAGAGUUAAGAGGAACCAACAAGGGACCUUGAAGCAUCUCAGGGCUAGCAAUUUCAGGGAGCUGGUACCACGUAGAGUCCUGAAAGGAAGAAGGAGGGAUUGAUUACCAGAACUGGGAAAGAGAAGCUGUAUGGAAAAGCCAUCUCUGAUAGAGGGGUACAGCCAACCUAUAGCAGUGUGGCCGGGAAAGAACCAGGAGAACAAAUAGCCUCACUGAACUCUCCUCUCUGUUCUCCAGCCUCCUGAUGGUACCUCACAUUAGCCACAUUCACCCAGAAACCAGAAGGCAGGGGAGCCUCACUGAUGCUGCCCACAAAGAUUAGAGUCUCUGGGGUGCAGAGCAGAGAGGAGAAGGCUGGGUGUAGAUCUAGAGGGGAAAUGGAACAUAUCUGACAUGGCUGAGAUGACAGAUUACUUGGAUUAUAUUAUAAGGGAUGUUUCUACUUUAGAACCCAAAGAGAGUUUUUUGUUUGUUUGAGUGGAACUUUGCGACCUUCUGUAAGCUGCGUAGAGCUACUGGCUGUGCGGGCUAAAGGAGAGAGAGGAAUCUCCAGUCACACUUCAUCGUUUUUAUAGUUGAAAAGACCCAGGGAAGACAAGCGACUUGUCCAAGGCUCUACAGUAAUUCAUUAAAGUGUUUCCUGAAAACCGAUUAGAUUUUCUUGGAAAAACAACACAAAACACUUGAAACAGUAAAGAAACAAUGCAAAGCAAAACCUGAUCAAGUGCCAGGAGAAGGCUGUGGCUUAGCACUUGUUUCCCCAGUUAUCAGUUCAGAUUCUUUUGGGUUGUGAGUCACAGAAAACCUAACUCAGAGGGGCUUCAACAGCUCAGAGGCUGAAUACGCUCAUGCACCUGCAAAGUACAGGGAUAAGAGACAGAGUGGGCUGCAGGGCCGGUGGCAAAUAGUGACUCGAUGAUGUCAUCAAUGGCCCAGUUUCUUUCCAUCUCUCUGCUCUUUCUUGCAUGAGGUCACUCAUCCUCAGGUUGGCUUCUUUCGUGAAGGCAGAAUGGCUGGAAAAGUUCCGGGACCAUUUUUGCACAUCCCUCUGGCCGGAAGGAAAGAAAACAUUGCUUCUAGUAUCUCUUAAAAAGAUUGAGAAGAUUAUUUCUUUCUUAGGGUUGGUCCCGCCCCAGCAAACCAACACUGACAUUUCACUGGCCUGAAGUGAGUCAUGUGCUCAUUCGUAAACCAAUCCCUGUGGCUAGGAAAAUGCUCUCUGUUGAUUGGCAGGAUUGGAGAUUUCCUGAUUGGCCUUUCCCUCAGGGGAGGAGGGAAGGGGCAGCUUCCCCCUAAAGCACCAGAGCUGGGGGUAGGGCAGUGAACAGAGCUCUGGGUACUUUUGGGGUUGGAGGGAAAUGGGUAUUAGGAGGGCAGCAACUGACACCCACCAUACUGUAUCAUAGGUAGAAAUUCAGUAAAGCCCUACUAAUUUGGACUGGAGUCGUUAGGUGGUACAGAAGAUUAGGUGCUCAGCUGCUAACUGAAAGUUUGGAGGUUAGAGUCCGAGAGGCACCUCAGAAGAAAGACCUGGUGAUCUACUUGUGAAAAAUCAGCCAUUGAAAACCCUAUGGAAUGCAGUUCUGCUCUGACGCACAUGGGGUCACCAUGAGUCGGAGUCAGCUUGAAGGCAACUGGUAAUUUGGGCUAACUGUUGGGGGUAAUGGUAAGGUAAUAGAGGGAAUGCCUACUUUUAAUUAGUCAAAAUCCGAAUUUUAAAAUAUUUUAACACAUACUUUAACAAAGUGUAGUGGUUAAGAGCUCGGCUGCUAACCAAAAGGUUGGCAGUUCACAUCCACCAGCCACUCCUUGGAGACACUAUGGGGCAGUUCUCCUCUGUCCUAUAGAGUCGCUAUGAGUCGGAAUCUACUUGAUGGCAGCUAACAAGAACCCAAAAAGUUACUGUUGGAAGGCUUUCAAUUAGCAUCUGUUUUUCAGGAUGUCUUAAAACGGAACCAUCUAGCAGGUUAAAUAUGUCUUCCACAGUCUGGUUUCAUUCCUAAUUUGCUUAUUCAACCUUUUUAUAGCCAGAGUAUACACUGAGUUUAAAUUCUGGGUUGGUGGAGAUUAAAUUAUAGUAAUGAGGUUCCUCAUUUAUAACCUCAUCUAUAAAACGUGGAUAAGAAUAGCACCUACUUUAUAGGUUUGCUGUAAGGAUUAACUGAGGUAAUCCAAGUAAGGUACUUCGCCCAGUGACUGGUCCAAUAAUUGUUACCUUUAUUAGUAUCAUAUAUCUCAAAAUAGUGCCACGUUUAUGUGUUUAUGCGCAUGAUUAGUCUAGGAAGUAAGCUCUCUUCACAACAAACCUGUCACUGAUUAGCUCUAUUAGAGACAAAGUAAAUAAGGGUAUUAAAAUAUUUAGUGUUUAUAGAUUUUUUUUUUACUUUUUUAAAUUAGAAUUCAUUUUAGGGAAAGUCUAAAUAAAGUUUUAAGUAGCGUACAAAUAAUUUAAAAUCAGAUAUAGUCCCUGGAAAAUAGGGAUUAUUUAAUUUUAUCUGGUAUAUUGUUGUUGUUGGAUGCCGUCCACUAGAUUUGACUCAUAGUGACCCCGUGUGACAGAAUAGAA